Molecule: ribosomal RNA, 2105 nt
Filed under: Pseudomonas aeruginosa
Lineage: Bacteria; Pseudomonadati; Pseudomonadota; Gammaproteobacteria; Pseudomonadales; Pseudomonadaceae
Description: partial 23S ribosomal RNA
Rfam family: Bacterial large subunit ribosomal RNA
Source: RNAcentral
GGUCAAGUGAAGAAGCGCAUACGGUGGAUGCCUUGGCAGUCAGAGGCGAUGAAAGACGUGGUAGCCUGCGAAAAGCUUCGGGGAGUCGGCAAACAGACUUUGAUCCGGAGAUCUCUGAAUGGGGGAACCCACCUAGGAUAACCUAGGUAUCUUGUACUGAAUCCAUAGGUGCAAGAGGCGAACCAGGGGAACUGAAACAUCUAAGUACCCUGAGGAAAAGAAAUCAACCGAGAUUCCCUUAGUAGUGGCGAGCGAACGGGGAUUAGCCCUUAAGCUUCAUUGAUUUUAGCGGAACGCUCUGGAAAGUGCGGCCAUAGUGGGUGAUAGCCCCGUACGCGAAAGGAUCUUUGAAGUGACAUCGAGUAGGACGGAGCACGAGAAACUUUGUCUGAACAUGGGGGGACCAUCCUCCAAGGCUAAAUACUACUGACUGACCGAUAGUGAACCAGUACCGUGAGGGAAAGGCGAAAAGAACCCCGGAGAGGGGAGUGAAAUAGAACCUGAAACCGUAUGCGUACAAGCAGUGGGAGCCUACUUGUUAGGUGACUGCGUACCUUUUGUAUAAUGGGUCAGCGACUUAUAUUCAGUGGCAAGCUUAACCGUAUAGGGUAGGCGUAGCGAAAGCGAGUCUUAAUAGGGCGUUUAGUCGCUGGGUAUAGACCCGAAACCGGGCGAUCUAUCCAUGAGCAGGUUGAAGGUUAGGUAACACUGACUGGAGGACCGAACCCACUCCCGUUGAAAAGGUAGGGGAUGACUUGUGGAUCGGAGUGAAAGGCUAAUCAAGCUCGGAGAUAGCUGGUUCUCCUCGAAAGCUAUUUAGGUAGCGCCUCAUGUAUCACUCUGGGGGGUAGAGCACUGUUUCGGCUAGGGGGUCAUCCCGACUUACCAAACCGAUGCAAACUCCGAAUACCCAGAAGUGCCGAGCAUGGGAGACACACGGCGGGUGCUAACGUCCGUCGUGAAAAGGGAAACAACCCAGACCGCCAGCUAAGGUCCCAAAGUUGUGGUUAAGUGGUAAACGAUGUGGGAAGGCUUAGACAGCUAGGAGGUUGGCUUAGAAGCAGCCAUCCUUUAAAGAAAGCGUAAUAGCUCACUAGUCGAGUCGGCCUGCGCGGAAGAUGUAACGGGGCUCAAACCACACACCGAAGCUGCGGGUGUCACGCAAGUGACGCGGUAGAGGAGCGUUCUGUAAGCCUGUGAAGGUGAGUUGAGAAGCUUGCUGGAGGUAUCAGAAGUGCGAAUGCUGACAUGAGUAACGACAAUGGGUGUGAAAAACACCCACGCCGAAAGACCAAGGGUUCCUGCGCAACGUUAAUCGACGCAGGGUUAGUCGGUUCCUAAGGCGAGGCUGAAAAGCGUAGUCGAUGGGAAACAGGUUAAUAUUCCUGUACUUCUGGUUACUGCGAUGGAGGGACGGAGAAGGCUAGGCCAGCUUGGCGUUGGUUGUCCAAGUUUAAGGUGGUAGGCUGAAAUCUUAGGUAAAUCCGGGGUUUCAAGGCCGAGAGCUGAUGACGAGUCGUCUUUUAGAUGACGAAGUGGUUGAUGCCAUGCUUCCAAGAAAAGCUUCUAAGCUUCAGGUAACCAGGAACCGUACCCCAAACCGACACAGGUGGUCGGGUAGAGAAUACCAAGGCGCUUGAGAGAACUCGGGUGAAGGAACUAGGCAAAAUGGCACCGUAACUUCGGGAGAAGGUGCGCCGGCUAGGGUGAAGGAUUUACUCCGUAAGCUCUGGCUGGUCGAAGAUACCAGGCCGCUGCGACUGUUUAUUAAAAACACAGCACUCUGCAAACACGAAAGUGGACGUAUAGGGUGUGACGCCUGCCCGGUGCCGGAAGGUUAAUUGAUGGGGUUAGCGCAAGCGAAGCUCUUGAUCGAAGCCCCGGUAAACGGCGGCCGUAACUAUAACGGUCCUAAGGUAGCGAAAUUCCUUGUCGGGUAAGUUCCGACCUGCACGAAUGGCGUAACGAUGGCGGCGCUGUCUCCACCCGAGACUCAGUGAAAUUGAAAUCGCUGUGAAGAUGCAGUGUAUCCGCGGCUAGACGGAAAGACCCCGUGAACCUUUACUGUAGCUUUGCACUGGACUUUGAGCCUGCUUGUGUAGGAU